CAGCCGCCACGGGAAUACAGAGGGUGCGAGCGUUAAUCGGAUUUACUGGGCGUAAAGCGUGCGUAGGCGGCUUUUUAAGUCGGAUGUGAAAUCCCUGAGCUUAACUUAGGAAUUGCAUUCGAUACUGGGAAGCUGGAGUAUGGGAGAGGAUGGUAGAAUUCCAGGUGUAGCGGUGAAAUGCGUAGAGAUCUGGAGGAAUACCGAUGGCGAAGGCAGCCAUCUGGCCUAAUACUGACGCUGAGGUACGAAAGCAUGGGGAGCAAACAGGAUUAGAUACCCGUGUAGUCCCUGUCUCUUAUAC
RNAcentral lists this ribosomal RNA (301 nucleotides) under uncultured bacterium. RNAcentral describes it as "partial 16S ribosomal RNA". It matches the Rfam family "Bacterial small subunit ribosomal RNA", at positions 509 to 807 of the family's 1533-position model. The record is from RNAcentral.